UUUUUUAAAUUACUUUUUAAUAACUUACUUUUUAUUUUAUGUGUACUGGUAUUUUGUCUGCAUUCAUGUCUGUGUAAGAGUGCUGGGACCCCUGGAACUGGAGUUACAGGCAGUUGUGAGCCACCAUGUGGUUGCUGGGAAUUGAACCCAGAUCCUCUGGAAGAGCAGCCAGUGCUCCAGCCCCUGAGCCCUCUCUCCAGACUGCCAAUCUUCCACCUCAAUCCUCUCGCCAUUUCCCCAUAAGAUAAGGCCUCUACAUAUUCCAGCAUGAACUGGCUCAGACCUGCUUUACAGCUGAGGAUGGCCUUGAACUUCCUAUUACCUCUCAAGUACUAAGUUUAUAGUUAUUUUACACCGCCAUGCCGUUUGUGCAGUGCUAGAGACUGAACC
Molecule: long non-coding RNA, 390 nt
Filed under: Rattus norvegicus (Norway rat)
Lineage: Eukaryota; Metazoa; Chordata; Mammalia; Rodentia; Muridae
Description: long non-coding RNA NONRATT003217
Source: RNAcentral